GUUUUCAGUUUGGAAUUGAGAAAAAGAAUCUGGGAAGAGUGCGAAUGCGUGAAUGGAUCUUAAGUUAUAACCUCAUAUGAACUCGCCAUUUUAUUCCCUAUUUGUCGUUUGUCGUUUAUCGGUUCUCCUCCUCACUAGUUUGAUUGAAAUUACAAUAGGAACGAAACGACGAGGUUAAUUAAGGAUAAUCAAGGAGCUUAUUCUUGAGAGAGGUAGAAAAGAAGGGGAAAGAGGUUUUGAGUUUCAGAAUUGAAAAAUAAGAAAAAAUGAAGACUACGAAGGGCGGCAAGGUCAUGAACGCUACCGAUGCUUAUCGAAAGGAGCUUCCCAAGAAGGAAUUGAAAAGGAAUAAGAAGGAAAGGAAGAAGGUGAGGGAAGUGGGAAUUCUUAAGAAAGAUCCUGAACAGCUGAAGAAACAGAUUGAGAACUUGGAAAUGAUGAGAAUAUGAAGAUAAAAGGAAGGAGAAGGGUGAGACCCCUGUUAUGUUCAGAGUGCUCAUCGGAAAGCAUUGGAUAUGCUGAACACAGUGG
This is a long non-coding RNA of Arachis duranensis, 531 nucleotides long. RefSeq lists it as uncharacterized. The transcript has 4 exons. The record is from RefSeq and is a predicted model, not a curated record. Lineage: Eukaryota; Viridiplantae; Streptophyta; Magnoliopsida; Fabales; Fabaceae.